AGGGUGCGAGCGUUAUUCGGAUUUUCUGGGCUUAAAGCGCGCGCAGGUGUUUUCCUAAGUUGGAAGUGAAAGCCCCGGGCUCAACCUGGGAACUGCUUUCAAAACUGACGGGCUAGAGUACGGUAGAGGGGAGUGGAAUUUCAUGUGUAGCGGUGAAAUGCGUAGAUAUAGGAAGGAACAUCAGUGGCGAAGGCGACUGCCUGGACUGUUACUGACACUGAGGUGCGAAAGCGGGGGGAGCAAACAGGAUUAGAUACCCUGGUAGUCCACGCCGUAAACGAUGUCAACUAGUUGUUGGGGGUCUUGUGCCCUUAGUAACGCAGCUAACGCAUUAGGUUGACCGCCUGGGGAGUACGGCCGCAAGGUUAAAACUCAAAUGAAUUGACGGGGGCCCGCACAAGCGGUGGAGCAUGUGGUUUAAUUCGAAGCAACGCGAAGAACCUUACCUGGCCUUGACAUGUAGCGAAGAUUUCAGAGAUGAGAUUGUGCCUUCGGGAACGCUAACACAGGUGCUGCAUGGCUGUCGUCAGCUCGCGUCGUGAGAUGUUGGGUUAAGUCCCGUAACGAGCGCAACCCUUGUCCUUAGUUACCAGCACGUUAUGGUGGGCACUUUAAGGAGACUGCCGGUGACAAACCGGAGGAAGGUGGGGAUGACGUCAAGUCAUCAUGGCCCUUACGGCCAGGGCUACACACGUGCUACAAUGGUCGGUACAACGGGAUGCCAAGCCGCGAGGUGGAGCCAACCCCAUCAAAGCCGAUCAUAGUCCGGAUUGCACUCUGCAACUCGAGUGCAUGAAGUCGGAAUCGCUAGUAAUCGCGGAUCAGAAUGCCGCGGUGAAUACGUUCCCGGGCC
RNAcentral lists this ribosomal RNA (853 nucleotides) under uncultured bacterium. RNAcentral describes it as "bacterial SSU rRNA". It matches the Rfam family "Bacterial small subunit ribosomal RNA", at positions 529 to 1380 of the family's 1533-position model. The record is from RNAcentral.